UUCCGGUUGAUCCCGCCGGACCUGACUGCUAUCGGAUUGAUACUAAGCCAUGCUAGUCUUUGUAGUAAUACAAGGCAUACGGCUCAGUAACGCGUAGUCAACCUACCCUAUGGACGGGGAUAAUCUCGGGAAACUGAGCAUAAUACCCGGCAGACCACUUAUCCUGGAAUGGUUAGUGGUUAAAAUGAUUCGUCGCCAUAGGAUGGGACUGCGGCCUAUCAGCUUGUUGGUGAGGUAAUGGCCCACCAAGGCGAUUACAGGUACGGGCUCUGAGAGGAGAGGCCCGGAGAUGGGUACUGAGACAAGGACCCAGGCCCUAUGGGGCGCAGCAGGCGAGAAAACUUUGCAAUGUGCGAAAGCACGACAAGGUUAAUCCGAGUGAUUUCUGCUAAAGGAAUCUUUUGUUAGUUCUAAAAAUACUAGUGAAUAAGGGGUGGGCAAGUUCUGGUGUCAGCCGCCGCGGUAAAACCAGCACCUCAAGUGGUCAGGAGGAUUAUUGGGCCUAAAGCAUCCGUAGCCUGUUCUAUAAGUUUGCGGUUAAAUCUAUACGCUCAACGUAUAGGCUGCCGUAAAUACUGUAGAACUAGGGAGUGGGAGAGGUAGACGGUACUCGAUAGGAAGGGGUAAAAUCCUUUGAUCUAUUGAUGACCACCUGUGGCGAAGGCGGUCUACCAGAACACGUUCGACGGUGAGGGAUGAAAGCUGGGGGAGCAAACCGGAUUAGAUACCCGGGUAGUCCCAGCUGUAAACGAUGCAGACUCGAUGAUGCAAUGGCAUAGAGCUAUUGCAGUAUCGCAGGGAAGCCGUUAAGUUUGCCGCCUGGGAAGUACGUACGCAAGUAUGAAACUUAAAGGAAUUGGCGGGGGAGCACCACAAGGGGUGAAGCCUGCGGUUCAAUUGGAAUCAACGCCGGA
This 914-nucleotide ribosomal RNA is filed under the name uncultured archaeon. Its description in RNAcentral is "bacterial SSU rRNA". It matches the Rfam family "Archaeal small subunit ribosomal RNA", at positions 1 to 922 of the family's 1478-position model. The record is from RNAcentral.